GCCUUCUUUCUCCAAUCUCCCUUAGGUGUUUUUCUUCCCACAGAUCUCUCCUCACCACCAUCUCCUGUUAGUUUUUGCUAUCGCCUUCCUCCCCAUCAUCACCGACAUCCUUCCCAUAGAUCCAUUAGCCUUCCCAUCGUCCACCCCUCUACCACCAGCCCUGAUCCCUCCUCCACUUUGUUUCAGUUCCAUCGGAUGGAUCCAUCGAUACUUGGAUCCCGAUCGGCCAACCUACUAGCACUGAUCGGUCUCCGAGGUCCGACGUCCAUAGCCAAAGAAAGAUCGAAGCACGAAUCCAAAUGAACUCAUCGGCCAAGGUGCCCUUCGGUUGGUGGCCAGAACGUCGUCGAUACGAGGC
This 358-nucleotide long non-coding RNA is filed under the name Elaeis guineensis (African oil palm). RNAcentral's name for it is "long non-coding RNA (EGUI_LNC015967)". The record is from RNAcentral. Lineage: Eukaryota; Viridiplantae; Streptophyta; Magnoliopsida; Arecales; Arecaceae.